Molecule: ribosomal RNA, 254 nt
Filed under: uncultured bacterium
Lineage: Bacteria
Description: partial 16S ribosomal RNA
Rfam family: Bacterial small subunit ribosomal RNA
Source: RNAcentral
UACGGGGGGAGCAAGCGUUGUUCGGAUUUACUGGGCGUAAAGGGCGCGUAGGCGGCCACCGCAAGUCGGUUGUGAAAUCUCCGGGCUUAACCCGGAAAGGUCAAUCGAUACUGCGGGGCUAGAGUGCAGAAGGGGCAACUGGAAUUCUCGGUGUAGCGGUGAAAUGCGUAGAUAUCGAGAGGAACACCUGCGGCGAAGGCGGGUUGCUGGGCUGACACUGACGCUGAAGCGCGAAAGCGUGGGGAGCGAACAGG